Molecule: ribosomal RNA, 662 nt
Filed under: uncultured Enterobacteriaceae bacterium
Lineage: Bacteria; Pseudomonadati; Pseudomonadota; Gammaproteobacteria; Enterobacterales; Enterobacteriaceae
Description: bacterial SSU rRNA
Rfam family: Bacterial small subunit ribosomal RNA
Source: RNAcentral
UGGGCUCCGAAGCUAACGCGAUAAAUCGACCGCCUGGGGAGUACGGCCGCAAGGUUAAAACUCAAAUGAAUUGACGGGGGCCCGCACAAGCGGUGGAGCAUGUGGUUUAAUUCGAUGCAACGCGAAGAACCUUACCUGGUCUUGACAUCCAUAGGAUUCUGCAGAGAUGUGGGAGUGCCUUCGGGAACUAUGAGACAGGUGCUGCAUGGCUGUCGUCAGCUCGUGUUGUGAAAUGUUGGGUUAAGUCCCGCAACGAGCGCAACCCUUAUUCUUUGUUGCCAGCGAUUUGGUCGGGAACUCAAAGGAGACUGCCGUUGAUAAAGCGGAGGAAGGUGGGGACGACGUCAAGUCAUCAUGGCCCUUACGACCAGGGCUACACACGUGCUACAAUGGCGUAUACAAAGGGAAGCGAAGGUGCGAGCUGGAGCGGAUCUCAUAAAGUACGUCUAAGUUCGGAUUGGAGUCUGCAACUCGACUCCAUGAAGUCGGAAUCGCUAGUAAUCGUAGAUCAGAAUGCUACGGUGAAUACGUUCCCGGGCCUUGUACACACCGCCCGUCACACCAUGGGAGUGGGUUGCACCAGAAGUAGAUAGCUUAACCGCGAGGGGGGCGUUUACCACGGUGUGAUUCAUGACUGGGGUGAAGUCGUAACAAGGUAACCA